AUCGCUUCUCGGCCUUUUGGCUAAGAUCAAGUGUAAGAAUACAAUGAUACCUAUUCACCUAAAAAUUUUUUUAAAAACUCUAGAAAAAGUAGUUUGCUUAAUGGUAUACCGUACUCCAUAAAACACCUGCCUAUU
Small nuclear RNA from Heterocephalus glaber (naked mole-rat), 135 nucleotides. Its record names the gene U2. It matches the Rfam family "U2 spliceosomal RNA". From Rfam's summary of the family: U2 is a small nuclear RNA (snRNA) component of the spliceosome (involved in pre-mRNA splicing). Complementary binding between U2 snRNA (in an area lying towards the 5' end but 3' to hairpin I) and the branchpoint sequence (BPS) of the intron results the bulging out of an unpaired adenosine, on the BPS, which initiates a nucleophilic attack at the intronic 5' splice site, thus starting the first of two transesterification reactions that mediate splicing. NCBI's taxonomy places the organism in Eukaryota, Metazoa, Chordata, Mammalia, Rodentia, Bathyergidae. The record is from Ensembl.